Molecule: ribosomal RNA, 468 nt
Filed under: uncultured bacterium
Lineage: Bacteria
Description: partial 16S ribosomal RNA
Rfam family: Bacterial small subunit ribosomal RNA
Source: RNAcentral
GACGAACGCUGGCGGCGUGCUUAACACAUGCAAGUCGAACGGAAAGGCCCUGCUUUUGUGGGGUGCUCGAGUGGCGAACGGGUGAGUAACACGUGAGUAACCUGCCCUUGACUUUGGGAUAACUUCAGGAAACUGGGGCUAAUACCGGAUAGGAGCUCCUGCUGCAUGGUGGGGGUUGGAAAGUUUCGGCGGUUGGGGAUGGACUCGCGGCUUAUCAGCUUGUUGGUGGGGUAGUGGCUUACCAAGGCUUUGACGGGUAGCCGGCCCGAGAGGGUGACCGGCCACAUGGGGACUGAGAUACGGCCCAGACUCCUACGGGAGGCAGCAGUGGGGAAUAUUGCACAAUGGGCGGAAGCCUGAUGCAGCAACGCCGCGUGCGGGAUGACGGCCUUCGGGUUGUAAACCGCUUUCGCCUGUGACGAAGCGUGAGUGACGGUAAUGGGUAAAGAAGCACCGGCUAACUACGUG